This 76-nucleotide transfer RNA is filed under the name Dactylosporangium siamense. RNAcentral's name for it is "tRNA-Glu". It matches the Rfam family "tRNA". From Rfam's summary of the family: Transfer RNA (tRNA) molecules are approximately 80 nucleotides in length. Their secondary structure includes four short double-helical elements and three loops (D, anti-codon, and T loops). Lineage: Bacteria; Bacillati; Actinomycetota; Actinomycetes; Micromonosporales; Micromonosporaceae. The record is from RNAcentral.
GAAGCCGUAGCGCAGUGGUCGUCGCGCCUUGACCUCACUGAGGAGGACGCCGGUUCGAAUCCGGCCGGCUUCGCCA